RNAcentral lists this ribosomal RNA (253 nucleotides) under uncultured bacterium. RNAcentral describes it as "partial 16S ribosomal RNA". It matches the Rfam family "Bacterial small subunit ribosomal RNA", at positions 524 to 776 of the family's 1533-position model. The record is from RNAcentral.
UACGUAGGGUGCGAGCGUUGUCCGGAAUUACUGGGCGUAAAGCGCACGUAGGCGGCUUUGUAAGUUAGAGGUGAAAGCCUGGAGCUCAACUCCAGAAUUGCCUUUAAGACUGCAUCGCUUGAAUCCAGGAGAGGUGAGUGGAAUUCCGAGUGUAGAGGUGAAAUUCGUAGAUAUUCGGAAGAACACCAGUGGCGAAGGCGGCUGACUGGACAUGUAUUGACGCUGAGGUGCGAAAGCGUGGGGAGCAAACAGG